This 467-nucleotide ribosomal RNA is filed under the name uncultured bacterium. RNAcentral describes it as "partial 16S ribosomal RNA". It matches the Rfam family "Bacterial small subunit ribosomal RNA", at positions 28 to 506 of the family's 1533-position model. The record is from RNAcentral.
GACGAACGCUGGCGGCGUACUUAAUACAUGCAAGUCGAACGGAAAGGCUCUGCUUUUGUGGGGAGCUCGAGAGGCGAACGGGGGAGUAAAACGCGAGUAAAAUGCCCCUGAAUGUGGGAUAAAACCAGGAAACAGGGGCUAAUACAGGAUAGGAGCUCCCGCUGCAAGGUGGGGGUAGGAAAGGUUCGGCGGUUGGGGAUGGAAUCGCGGCUUAUCAGCUUGUUGGUGGGGUAGUGGCUUACCAAGGCUUUGACGGGUAGCAGGCCUGAGAGGGUGACCGGCCCCAUCUGCUCUGGGAUGCGGCCCUGACUCCUACGCCAGGCAGCAGUAGAGACUAUUGCACAAUGGCCGGGAGCCUGAUGCAGCCCCGCCGCGUGCGGGAUGACGGCCUUCGGGUUGUACACCGCUUUCGCCUGUGGCGAAGCGUGAGUGACGGUAAUGGGUAGAGAAGCACCGGCUAACUACGU